RNAcentral lists this non-coding RNA (23 nucleotides) under Arabidopsis thaliana (thale cress). The record is from RNAcentral. Lineage: Eukaryota; Viridiplantae; Streptophyta; Magnoliopsida; Brassicales; Brassicaceae.
GUCCGGUUUGGCCCAAGUGUCCC